UAUGAAGAACGCAGCGAAAUGCGAUACGUAAUGUGAAUUGCAGAAUUCAGUGAAUCAUCGAGUCUUUGAACGCACAUUGCGCCCCCUGGUAUUCCGGGGGGCAUGCCUGUCCGAGCGUCAUUGCUGCCCUCAAGCACGGCUUGUGUGUUGGGCCUCCGUCCUCCUCCCGGGGGACGGGCCCGAAAGGCAGCGGCGGCACCGCGUCCGGUCCUCGAGCGUAUGGGGCUUCGUCACCCGCUCUUGUAGGCCCGGCCGGCGCUUGCCGACACAUCAAUCUUUUUUCCAGGUUGACCUCGGAUCAGGUAGGGAUACCCGCUGAACUUAAGCAUAUCAAAAGCGGAGGA
RNAcentral lists this unclassified non-coding RNA (344 nucleotides) under soil metagenome. RNAcentral describes it as "partial contains 5.8S ribosomal RNA, internal transcribed spacer 2, and large subunit ribosomal RNA". The stretch from base 2 to 120 matches the Rfam family "5.8S ribosomal RNA", at positions 36 to 154 of the family's 154-position model. The record is from RNAcentral.